RNAcentral lists this ribosomal RNA (460 nucleotides) under uncultured Methylomirabilota bacterium. Its description in RNAcentral is "bacterial SSU rRNA". It matches the Rfam family "Bacterial small subunit ribosomal RNA", at positions 977 to 1434 of the family's 1533-position model. The record is from RNAcentral. Lineage: Bacteria; Methylomirabilota (SeqCode).
GGGCUUGACAUCCCACGAACCUGCCUGAAAGGGCGGGGUGCCCGCAAGGGAGCGUGGAGACAGGUGGUGCAUGGCUGUCGUCAGCUCGUGUCGUGAGAUGUUGGGUUAAGUCCCGCAACGAGCGCAACCCUCACCCCUGGUUGCCACCGGGUAAAGCUGAGCACUCGAGGGGAACUGCCAGCGUCAAGCUGGAGGAAGGCGGGGAUGACGUCAAGUCAUCAUGCCCCUUACGCCCUGGGCUACACACGUGCUACAAUGGCCGGUACAAAGGGACGCGAGACCGCGAGGUGGAGCCAAUCCCAAAAAACCGGUCUAAGUUCAGAUUGCAGUCUGCAACUCGACUGCAUGAAGGAGGAAUCGCUAGUAAUCGCGCAUCAGCACGGCGCGGUGAAUACGUUCCCGGGCCUUGUACACACCGCCCGUCACACCACGAAAGCUGUCUGUACUCGAAGUCGCUGAG